UGCAAGUCGAACGAACCUUCGGGUUAGUGGCGGACGGGUGAGUAACGCGUGGGAAUCUGCCCUCAGGAGGGGGAUAACGGCUGGAAACGGCCGCUAAUACCCCAUAUGCCGAGAGGUGAAAUGAAUUUCGCCUGAGGAUGAGCCCGCGUCUGAUUAGCUAGUUGGUGAGGUAAGAGCUCACCAAGGCAUCGAUCAGUAGCUGGUCUGAGAGGAUGAUCAGCCACACUGGGACUGAGACACGGCCCAGACUCCUACGGGAGGCAGCAGUGGGGAAUUUUCCGCAAUGGGCGAAAGCCUGACGGAGCAACGCCGCGUGAGGGAUGAAGGCCUCUGGGCUGUAAACCUCUUUUCUCAAGGAAGAAGAUCUGACGGUACUUGAGGAAUAAGCCACGGCUAAUUCCGUGCCAGCAGCCGCGGUAAUACGGGAGUGGCAAGCGUUAUCCGGAAUUAUUGGGCGUAAAGCGUCCGCAGGCGGCCCUUCAUGUCUGCUGUUAAAACGUGGAGCUUAACUCCAUCAUGGCAGUGGAAACUGUUGGGCUUGAGUGUGGUAGGGGCAGAGGGAAUUCCCGGUGUAGCGGUGAAAUGCGUAGAUAUCGGGAAGAACACCAGUGGCGAAGGCGCUCUGCUGGGCCAUAACUGACGCUCAUGGACGAAAGCCAGGGGAGCGAAAGGGAUUAGAUACCCCUGUAGUCCUGGCCGUAAACGAUGAACACUAGGUGUCGGGGGAAUCGACCCCCUCGGUGUCGUAGCCAACGCGUUAAGUGUUCCGCCUGGGGAGUACGCACGCAAGUGUGAAACUCAAAGGAAUUGACGGGGGCCCGCACAAGCGGUGGAGUUAUGGUGGUUUAAUUCGAUGCAACGCGAAGAACCUUACCAGGGUUUGACAUCCUGCGAACCUCUUGGAA
RNAcentral lists this ribosomal RNA (905 nucleotides) under uncultured marine bacterium. RNAcentral describes it as "bacterial SSU rRNA". It matches the Rfam family "Bacterial small subunit ribosomal RNA", at positions 56 to 1005 of the family's 1533-position model. The record is from RNAcentral.